Molecule: ribosomal RNA, 253 nt
Filed under: uncultured prokaryote
Description: partial 16S ribosomal RNA
Rfam family: Bacterial small subunit ribosomal RNA
Source: RNAcentral
UACGUAGGUGGCAAGCGUUGUCCGGAUUUAUUGGGUUUAAAGGGUGCGUAGGCGGUCCUAUAAGUCAGUGCUGAAAUAUCCCGGCUUAACCGGGAGGGUGGCAUUGAUACUGUGGGACUUGAGUAAAGUUGAGGUUGGCGGAAUUGACGGUGUAGCGGUGAAAUGCUUAGAUAUCGUCAAGAACACCUAUUGCGAAGGCAGCUAACUAAGCUUUAACUGACGCUGAGGCACGAAAGCUAGGGGAGCAAACAGG